GACGAACGCUGGCGGCGUGCUUAACACAUGCAAGUCGAACGGAAAGGCCCUGCUUGCAGGGUACUCGAGUGGCGAACGGGUGAGUAACACGUGGGUGAUCUGCCCUGCACUUCGGGAUAAGCCUGGGAAACUGGGUCUAAUACCGGAUAGGAGCCAUUUUUAGUGUGAUGGUUGGAAAGUUUUUUCGGUGUAGGAUGAGCUCGCGGCCUAUCAGCUUGUUGGUGGGGUAAUGGCCUACCAAGGCGGCGACGGGUAGCCGGCCUGAGAGGGUGGACGGGCACAGUGGGACUGGGAUACGGCCAAGACUCCUACGGGAGGCAGCAGUGGGAAAUAUUGCACAAGGGGCGCAAGCCUGAUGCAGAGACGCCGCGUGGGGGAGGACGGCCUUCGGGUUGUAAACGCCUUUCGCUAGGGACGAAGCUUUUUGUGACGGUACCUAGAUAAGAAGCACCGGCUAACUACGUG
RNAcentral lists this ribosomal RNA (465 nucleotides) under uncultured bacterium. RNAcentral's name for it is "partial 16S ribosomal RNA". It matches the Rfam family "Bacterial small subunit ribosomal RNA", at positions 28 to 507 of the family's 1533-position model. The record is from RNAcentral.